UCGGGAAUAUUGCGCAAUGGAGGAAACUCUGACGCAGUGACGCCGCGUGCAGGAAGAAGGUUUUCGGAUUGUAAACUGCUUUAGACAGGGAAGAAAAAGACAGUACCUGUAGAAUAAGCUCCGGCUAACUACGUGCCAGCAGCCGCGGUAAUACGUAGGGAGCAAGCGUUAUCCGGAUUUAUUGGGUGUAAAGGGUGCGUAGACGGGAAGACAAGUUAGUUGUGAAAUCCCUCGGCUUAACUGAGGAACUGCAACUAAACUAUACAUUCCUGAGUGCUGGAGAGGAAAGUAGGAAUUCCUAGUGUAGCGGUGAAAUGCGUAGAUAUUAGGAGGAACACCAGUGGCGAAGGCGACUUUCUGGACAGUAACUGACGUUGAGGCACGAAAGUGUGGGGAGCAAACAGGAUUAGAUACC
RNAcentral lists this ribosomal RNA (415 nucleotides) under uncultured bacterium. RNAcentral's name for it is "bacterial SSU rRNA". It matches the Rfam family "Bacterial small subunit ribosomal RNA", at positions 355 to 786 of the family's 1533-position model. The record is from RNAcentral.